Molecule: ribosomal RNA, 747 nt
Filed under: Arthrobacter sp. TND3
Lineage: Bacteria; Bacillati; Actinomycetota; Actinomycetes; Micrococcales; Micrococcaceae
Description: bacterial SSU rRNA
Rfam family: Bacterial small subunit ribosomal RNA
Source: RNAcentral
AACCGAAUGAUCCUCCAGCUUGCUGGGGGGAUUAGUGGCGAACGGGUGAGUAACACGUGAGUAACCUGCCCUUGACUCUGGGAUAAGCCUGGGAAACUGGGUCUAAUACCGGAUAUGACCAUCUGGCGCAUGUCAUGGUGGUGGAAAGCUUUUGUGGUUUUGGAUGGACUCGCGGCCUAUCAGCUUGUUGGUGGGGUAAUGGCCUACCAAGGCGACGACGGGUAGCCGGCCUGAGAGGGUGACCGGCCACACUGGGACUGAGACACGGCCCAGACUCCUACGGGAGGCAGCAGUGGGGAAUAUUGCACAAUGGGCGCAAGCCUGAUGCAGCGACGCCGCGUGAGGGAUGACGGCCUUCGGGUUGUAAACCUCUUUCAGUAGGGAAGAAGCCUUUCGGGGUGACGGUACUUGCAGAAGAAGCGCCGGCUAACUACGUGCCAGCAGCCGCGGUAAUACGUAGGGCGCAAGCGUUAUCCGGAAUUAUUGGGCGUAAAGAGCUCGUAGGCGGUUUGUCGCGUCUGCUGUGAAAGACCGGGGCUCAACUCCGGUUCUGCAGUGGGUACGGGCAGACUAGAGUGCAGUAGGGGAGACUGGAAUUCCUGGUGUAGCGGUGAAAUGCGCAGAUAUCAUGAGGAACACCGAUGGCGAAGGCAGGUCUCUGGGCUGUAACUGACGCUGAGGAGCGAAAGCAUGGGAGCGAACAGGAUUAGAUACCCUGGUAGUCCAUGCCGUAAACGUUGGGCACUA